RNAcentral lists this long non-coding RNA (437 nucleotides) under Ananas comosus (pineapple). Its description in RNAcentral is "long non-coding RNA (ACOM_LNC018310)". Lineage: Eukaryota; Viridiplantae; Streptophyta; Magnoliopsida; Poales; Bromeliaceae. The record is from RNAcentral.
UGUAUCUUGUAUUUUAAUUCACACCCUUCAAAAAGUGUAAAUAUUGUCGGAUCAUUGGCGCUAAUCAUUAAUUCCAAAAGUUCAAGCCGUUAGUAAUACGCAAUCAAUUCAAUUAAAUUGUACAGACAUAAUGCCUAUGGGUUUCGAUUGUGACUCGGCUGAAUUCAGCCUCCCGCCAUUUCGAACAUAAUUUGAUCCAACGAAAUCUCCCACCACAAAAAAAAUAUUGCCCCCUUUUUUUUUAGUUUAAAGAAUUAAAAGCCCCAAAGAAAAACAUAUAUUUUGGCUUGAUUAUCAAUUUGUAAGUCAAUGUCUCCGGCUUGAGAUUUUUUUUUUUUUUUUUUAGAAGAAGAUAAAAUACUAUUUGUUUUGUUCAAUUUUUUUUAGAAAUGAAUUUAGCUGAAAAUGUAAAGCAUGCAACUAGGUAGGCUUCGGAU